This 61-nucleotide microRNA precursor is filed under the name Pristionchus pacificus. RNAcentral describes it as "mir-8364 microRNA precursor family". It matches the Rfam family "mir-8364 microRNA precursor family". Lineage: Eukaryota; Metazoa; Nematoda; Chromadorea; Rhabditida; Neodiplogasteridae. The record is from Rfam by way of RNAcentral.
UCUCCAUUUCGCCAGCUCUCUCGUCGGUCAGAGAGGCGAGAGAGCAGGCUAAAUGAGGAGA